GAUGAACGCUGGCGGCGUGCCUAACACAUGCAAGUCGAACGGAGCUGCUUUGAUGAAGUUUUCGGAUGGAUUUAAAACAGCUUAGUGGCGGACGGGUGAGUAACGCGUGGGUAACCUGCCUCACACUGGGGGAUAACAGUUAGAAAUAGCUGCUAAUACCGCAUAAGCGCACAGUUCCGCAUGGAACAGUGUGAAAAACUCCGGUGGUGUGAGAUGGACCCGCGUCUGAUUAGCCAGUUGGCGGGGUAACGGCCCACCAAAGCGACGAUCAGUAGCCGGCCUGAGAGGGUGAAAGGCCACAUUGGGACUGAGACACGGCCCAAACUCCUACGGGAGGCAGCAGUGGGGAAUAUUGCACAAUGGGGGAAACCCUGAUGCAGCGACGCCGCGUGAGUGAAGAAGUAUUUCGGUAUGUAAAGCUCUAUCAGCAGGGAAGAAAGUGACGGUACCUGAAUAAGAAGCCCCGGCUAACUACGUGCCAGCAGCCGCUGUAA
This 494-nucleotide ribosomal RNA is filed under the name uncultured bacterium. RNAcentral's name for it is "partial 16S ribosomal RNA". It matches the Rfam family "Bacterial small subunit ribosomal RNA", at positions 28 to 523 of the family's 1533-position model. The record is from RNAcentral.